GAUGAACGCUGACAGAAUGCUUAACACAUGCAAGUCAACUUGAAUUUGGGUUUUUAACUUAGGUUUGGGUGGCGGACGGGUGAGUAACGCGUAAAGAACUUGCCUCACAGCUAGGGACAACAUUUGGAAACGAAUGCUAAUACCUAAUAUUAUGAUAAUAGGGCAUCCUAUAAUUAUGAAAGCUAUAAGCGCUGUGAGAGAGCUUUGCGUCCCAUUAGCUAGUUGGAGAGGUAACGGCUCACCAAGGCGAUGAUGGGUAGCCGGGCUGAGAGGGUGAUCGGCCACAAGGGGACUGAGACACGGCCCUUACUCCUACGGGAGGCAGCAGUGGGGAAUAUUGGACAAUGGACCGAGAGUCUGAUCCAGCAAUUCUGUGUGCACGAUGAAGUUUUUCGGAAUGUAAAGUGCUUUCAGUUGGGAAGAAACAAAUGACGGUACCAACAGAAGAAGUGACGGCUAAAUACGUG
Molecule: ribosomal RNA, 467 nt
Filed under: uncultured bacterium
Lineage: Bacteria
Description: partial 16S ribosomal RNA
Rfam family: Bacterial small subunit ribosomal RNA
Source: RNAcentral